GGGAAAAUGAAGGGAGGUAUUCGCUAUUGAGUUGAGAUUUGAAACUAUCAACCCUUGCCGAACUACGGAUUCGUUUUCGACAGCAAGGUCUUGUUCUGUGGAAUUCGAAGUAAAAAUAUGAUUGACGGCAUAGAGUGAAAGUAGAGAUGAAGCUUAAAGGACAGAGAAUUGACUAACUGGAGGACACACUGGUUGGAUGGUAUGAUUAUUUUACGUCCAGAGCUUACUAUAACAGUACCUUACUUUACAA
RNAcentral lists this long non-coding RNA (250 nucleotides) under Orbicella faveolata. RNAcentral describes it as "uncharacterized LOC110060776, transcript variant X2". Lineage: Eukaryota; Metazoa; Cnidaria; Anthozoa; Scleractinia; Merulinidae. The record is from RNAcentral.